This 335-nucleotide unclassified non-coding RNA is filed under the name soil metagenome. RNAcentral's name for it is "partial contains 5.8S ribosomal RNA, internal transcribed spacer 2, and large subunit ribosomal RNA". The stretch from base 1 to 120 matches the Rfam family "5.8S ribosomal RNA", at positions 35 to 154 of the family's 154-position model. The record is from RNAcentral.
GAUGAAGAACGCAGCGAAAUGCGAUAAGUAAUGUGAAUUGCAGAAUUCAGUGAAUCAUCGAAUCUUUGAACGCACAUUGCGCCCGCCAGUAUUCUGGCGGGCAUGCCUGUUCGAGCGUCAUUUCAACCAUCAAGCCCCCGGCUUGUGUUGGGGACCUGCGGCUGCCGCAGGCCCAGAAAACCAGUGGCGGGCUCGCUAGUCACUCCGAGCGUAGUAAUACAUCUCGCUCAGGGCGUGCUGCGGGUUCCGGCCGUUAAAAAGCCUUAUUUACCCAAGGUUGACCUCGGAUCAGGUAGGAAGACCCGCUGAACUUAAGCAUAUCAAUAAGCGGAGGA